Molecule: ribosomal RNA, 492 nt
Filed under: uncultured bacterium
Lineage: Bacteria
Description: partial 16S ribosomal RNA
Rfam family: Bacterial small subunit ribosomal RNA
Source: RNAcentral
AGUGAACGCUGGCGGUAGGCCUAACACAUGCAAGUCGAACGGCAGCACAGUAAGAGCUUGCUCUUACGGGUGGCGAGUGGCGGACGGGUGAGGAAUACAUCGGAAUCUACUUUUUCGUGGGGGAUAACGUAGGGAAACUUACGCUAAUACCGCAUACGACCUACGGGUGAAAGCAGGGGAUCUUCGGACCUUGCGCGAUUGAAUGAGCCGAUGUCGGAUUAGCUAGUUGGCGGGGUAAAGGCCCACCAAGGCGACGAUCCGUAGCUGGUCUGAGAGGAUGAGGAGCCACAGUGGAGCUGAGGCACGGUCCAGGCUUCUACGUGAAGCAGCAGAGGAGAAUAUUAGACAAUGGGCACAAGGCUGAUACAGCCAUUCCGAGUGAGUGAAGAGGGCCUUCGGGUUGUAAGGCACUUAUAUUGGAAAAGAAAAGCAGCAGGUUAAUAAACCGCUGUUCUGACGGUACCCAAAGAAUAAGCACCAGCUGACUUCGUG